This is a long non-coding RNA of Dreissena polymorpha, 667 nucleotides long. RefSeq lists it as uncharacterized. The record is from RefSeq and is a predicted model, not a curated record. The transcript is spliced from 3 exons. Lineage: Eukaryota; Metazoa; Mollusca; Bivalvia; Myida; Dreissenidae.
AGUAGUGUUUAAAAUCGCGCGGAGAUUGUAGAAUGCUAUUUUAAGAAGUCUAUUAAAGAGAGAAAAUCCAGUAAAUACCAGAUCCAAAAAGCGCGGAACACAAAUAUCGUCCGCGAAAAUUAAGCAUUGAAUUACUGUACAAAUCUCGGGUUGUUAGGUGUUAGAAUCCCUAGUUACCCGAAAAAUUUGAUUGGAUCCGAUACUUAGAAAUAACCAAUCAGAUACUUUGUAACAAAUGCAACACAAUCAGUGCGUUUAGUAAGUAUAACGUUUCAAGAUGGCGGAGCGAAUUGCAUGGUUAUUGUUUCUACUCGAUGGAUUCGCAGAUAAUUCGGAAAUAGAUCAGAUUGGGAUCAAUAACUGUAUUGCAUACGAUCAUUUACAUGUAUUACCAGGUGUGUGUUGCCAGUAAUGGUUGAAGAUAUGCCAAACAAAUUGUGCCUCUCUAUACAGACAGAUUUCAGGUCUCAAUUUCGACUUCAAAGGUCAACAUAUCACUGAUAUCAGGAAUUCUGUACAACUGUGGAACCAUGUAUGGUACGUGACCGCACAAUGUUGGUUGGCAAAAGGAUAUUGGAAUAAGCAAAGGUAAAUUGUAUGUGAAGGAGUCUUGACAAUUGCAAAUAUGGUUAGUUUUUUUGUAAGGCUCGCAGAAAGUGACCCUAGC